Lontra canadensis (Northern American river otter) is the source of this 100-nucleotide long non-coding RNA. RefSeq lists it as uncharacterized. The record is from RefSeq and is a predicted model, not a curated record. The transcript has 3 exons. Lineage: Eukaryota; Metazoa; Chordata; Mammalia; Carnivora; Mustelidae.
GAUGAAUGAAAGUUCUGAUUUUCAGGAGAUUAUAAGCAAAUUACUAUAGAAACCUUUUUUAUUUAAUGUUUAUAUGAUAGCUACCAUCAGAAUAUUUAUU